CAGCAGCCGCGGGAAAACGAAGGGUGCAAGCGUUACUCGGAAUUACUGGGCGUAAAGCGUGCGUAGGUGGUGGUUUAAGUCCGUUGUGAAAGCCCUGGGCUCAACCUGGGAAUUGCAGUGGAUACUGGGUCACUAGAGUGUGGUAGAGGAUAGUGGAAUUUCCGGUGUAGCAGUGAAAUGCGUAGAGAUCGGAAGGAACAUCUGUGGCGAAGGCGACUAUCUGGGCCAACACUGACACUGAGGCACGAAAGCGUGGGGAGCAAACAGGAUUAGAUACCCCUGUAGUCCCUGUCUCUUAUAC
This 301-nucleotide ribosomal RNA is filed under the name uncultured bacterium. RNAcentral's name for it is "partial 16S ribosomal RNA". It matches the Rfam family "Bacterial small subunit ribosomal RNA", at positions 509 to 807 of the family's 1533-position model. The record is from RNAcentral.